AUGUUCACACCAAGUUGCGACACCUGAAGUUCAUUAAUUAUGACAGGGGAAGGAAAAAUGUAGGGCUUCCUUGUCUCUAAGUUACCGACGUCCAGGAAACCGUACACGGCCUUGCCAAGGAUCAAGGCAACUGGCGCAAUGCAUCAACCUCAACUAUUGCUGCUACAAGCCUGCAUCUUGCCAUUUCAACGUAAUGGAGCAAAAUAACCCCGGUCAAAGUGAGCAAGAGUUUGUGCAUUUGCACACUGUGAAGCAGUGGCUGCGAGGGGAAGAGCCAAAUAUGUUGCCACGCAAAAAGAAGAACGUGAAGAGAUUUGCUCUCCUGGUGAAGGGUGAAGAUUGUCAUCGAAUAAUGCAAGUAGGUGACACAAUAUCAAUGUUUCAGAAUGCUGCAAAAAUAUGCAUGUGGGUUCUUUUACUAUGCUUUGGUGUUGGUGCUUAUGAUUGCUACAGAAUGCUGGUAUGUACGUAUAUACUUUUGCUUUAUUUUUAACAGGGUUGUGAUUUGCUUA
Molecule: long non-coding RNA, 512 nt
Organism: Eriocheir sinensis (Chinese mitten crab)
Lineage: Eukaryota; Metazoa; Arthropoda; Malacostraca; Decapoda; Varunidae
Exons: 3
Source: RefSeq, a predicted model, not a curated record